Long non-coding RNA from Anolis carolinensis (green anole), 6478 nucleotides. RefSeq lists it as uncharacterized. NCBI's taxonomy places the organism in Eukaryota, Metazoa, Chordata, Lepidosauria, Squamata, Anolidae. The transcript is spliced from 6 exons. The record is from RefSeq and is a predicted model, not a curated record.
UUUGAUCUGGAAUGAAAUUGGAGGGAAAAAAGCCUCUAGAGAUGAGCUCUCAGGCUGCAGGGCUGAACCAUCUUACCCAAACAUACAGGGGAAUUUUAAGCUCCACCCCUAAAAUAAGAGCUAAUGGAACAGUCCACCCAAGAGCAACAAACCAGGAAAUAAGCAGGGGAGAGAAAAACUAAGUAAGACAUCACAGUCAAUGUGGACCAUAAUAUCAAAUAUUUUAAGUAGCAAAGUUUAACAUCAUUGCAAAGGAACUGGAGCAACUGAACAAAGACUAUCUUCAUUCCAAAGUACUUGAGAAUUCAAGCAGAGAAGUGUGGGAGUAAAAAAUAAUCCCGCUUCCUCUCGUCAUCAGCAUGCCACCACAGAAGUCUCUGAACCUUACUGAUCAAGGUUAGAAAGCUGAGGCUGGUGACCAUUAGAAUUACAGCUUCACAGCAGAAGUCAAUUUUUCACAGUUCCCUUCAAGGCUUUUUGAGAGAGAGGAAAAAAAUAUUUCAAAGCACAGAAGACUCAUCUCAGUAUAGAUUCUAUCCCAAAUGCAAGCCUGAUAUAAAGGCGGCUGCCACUUGGCAUCUGAUGGAGGAAGAGUAAGGUUUGAUAGAAGUAGAUUUUCAGAAGACUCAGUGCAGUGACCCUGUUUUUUCUCUAUUUCAGUCUCUUCUACAGGACGGAGAGGAGGAACCAGGUGUAAAGCCUACCUCAAAACACCUCUGCUUUUGGAAUGCUUCACACUAGUCAGGGGGAGAAUUAUUUAUGAACAACGCACUCCAGUGAAGACUGAGAAGUGGCAGAUCAAAUUGCGCAAACUAUUAAAAGCAAUGAGCAAUGAGCACACCCCUUCCUCUCUCAAGGAAGAAGGGCAGCAGGCAAGAAAGAGUCAUCCCUGAGAGAAGCUGCUGAAAAGCUGUACAGUGUUUUCUGGAUCAUUUCACUUAAAUAAAACUUUAAGCUGGUUAUUUAGUUCCUUAAGUGAGUCUCAAGGAGAGAUUAUUCUGGCAGGUGGUCCACUUUGCCAGCAUGCCUGAUUGGUACAGUAAACCCACUCACUUUUAUUCCUGGAUGAUUUUUCCUUUUCAUCCCAUCAAUGGUAUUGCCGUUUAAUAGAAAAUGUCUACUUCUGUAUAUACAGACCAGAGCUCUGCUAGCUAGAAAUCUCUGGCAAAAGUUGUUCAUCGUGCUUGAGGCUACAUGCACAAGUGGAUCCUGGAUUUCCAUUGUGAAAACUGGAGCCAUUCUGAGAUCAUAGAGACUAUGAGAUUCAACAAGUUUACUUUCUACUAUGUAUCAGAGACUUUAUCUCUUAGAAUGAAACCGAAAAAUGUAGUUCCCAUUUCUCUUUGAACGAAUGCAUUUUUUCAUACUAGCAUUUGAAAGUUUGCACUUCUGUUUGAAAGUGUGUGCACAGGUCCAUUUGAUUUUUCAUGAAUUUCUUUUGAUUUGGUUAUUAUGAGAUUAUCUGAAACAAUAAUUAGAUCUAUUCAACUAUCUUCUGGGAUAGUGUGUUCAGUCCGGGGCACCACAGUUCAAGAAAAAUAUUGACAAGUUGUAUUGUAUACAGAAAACUGUGACCAAGCUGAUAAAAGGUCUGGAAACCAGGUCUAUGAAAAACAGCUUAGGCUAAAUUUACUAUACAAUGUAGUUUGAACUGCAUUAUAUGGUCAAUGUAGACUUAUAUGCAGUUCAAUGCAGUUCAACUGAAUUAUAUGGCUCUACAUAUAAUGGCAGUGUAGAUCCAGCCUUAGGGAGCUGGAUAUGUUUAGUUUGGAUGAGAGCAGAAAGUUGUGAUAUGAUAGCUAUAUUUAAAUAUUUGAAGGGAUGUCACAUAGAAGGUAGUUCAAGCUUCUCCAAAGACUAGAAAAUGAACCACAAGAUUCAAUUAUGAAAGAUUCCACUUGUAUAUUAUGAGGAAUUUCUUUACUUAUUUUUGUAAUUUUUGCAAUUUCAUCUAAUAAUAUAUAUAUAUGCAGUUGGUCCAGUGUUGGGCAUUUUCAAGACUAUUUUAACUGGUAUAUAUAAUUUUAUUUAUGCUGUUCCAUACCAUGAAAUGUAUUAUGAAAUGUAUGGGUGUUCUUGUGUGCAUCUAUUGUUUUUUUUUUGUAUCAGAACUGCAUAUUUUCAAGAAUAACAGAGUUUCAAUUCACAUCUAGGGCUAAAAAUGUGGAAUUAGGUAAAUUUGAGUAAGAUGACGCUAGAACAAAUUUCACCUCUUUGCCCAGUCAGGAUACAAUUCUGCUUUCAAACCACCUUAGAAUCAUUUCCUAUCAGUACAUUCCAAGUAACAAUUUCUGGAAGCCAGUCUGGCUUUGAGAUGAGAAAGAAGUGCAUUUCACCCUUCUCAAAAGAUAAGGCAGAAGUGUGAAGAACAGCCUCUCCUUCAAUUACUGGAACUGACUAUUUUUAGUCCUUCCUUUACUUUCAUUGUUCCUGGAUUUUACCUAUCAUACAGUCCAAGGGGCCAGUGAGAUAGCAUUUAGUGUUGCAAGAUGAGUAAAACAAAGCAAAGAUAUAGAGAAGGGUGAAUAAGCGAAAGUAUCAAAGGAAAAUACCAGCCACUAAGAAGCAAACUGUCCUACAUUAUUUCUAGAGACAAUUGUUGCAGUAAUAACUAUUUCACCCAUGAGUGUGAGAGAGAAAGCAGUCUCUUUUCACCCACAAUCAGCUCUUUACUCUUCUCUGCUAAGCAUUCAGAGGAAAAAACCCAGAGGCCAGUGUUCUUAUUGUAAGAAGAGUUUUCAUAUUUUUCUAACUGAAGCAGGAGUCGCAACUUUAGAAUCUUGCAUUUUGAUCAAAGUGGUGUCUGACGGAAAAAGUCAAAGUACUACUGUUCAAACAACUGCUCUUGGACCCAUCUGUGCCAUUACGGAGUGAUAUGAUAGCAACUUGAUGGCACCGCAUAGCUGCAGAAAAUAUAUUAAGGGAUUACAAAGUUGAAGGAGCACAGGGAGGCAGAAGCAAAUUGUCUGGCAAGAAGAGUGUCAGCUUCAGCUUAGUACGUGGCAAUAGCGGGCCUCCUUCUAUUUGUUAUCUGCUGCUUACACCUGUCACUUGGCCAGCGUGGUGUACCAACCAGUACAAAGUCGUCAUUACCUACCACACAGUGAGGGCUGCUUGUAAAUAUAUCUUUUGAAAUGGCAAAUGUACAGCAGGCCCCGUCUAUUAUUAAAAGUGUAAUGUUGUGGCGAUAAGCAAGGGCAUUGGGAAGGAUGUCUGAGGAAAAUCCUUUGCUGUGGAGGCAGAAUGACUUUCUUUGGGAGCUUCAAGAGGUCCUAGGAAAGGAACCCUUUAAUCCAUACAUGUGUUGGAUACAAUGCCAGAGACAUUCCCCACCCAACAUAUGCUUGUGUAUAAAUAUGUGUGUGUGUGCACAUACACAUAUAAUAAUGAAAACAGAAAAAUUGACGCAAAAGCCUGCUGACAUGGAAGGAACAGGAAUGCAGAGGCAAAGAACAUAUUCUGAAUUUGCUUUCCUUCAGUUGUAACAUUCUGCACCCUCCAAGACAUAUCACAAGUUGAAAAGUGAGGUAACAAAAUGGUACUUUGAUUCACAUCAGUCCUUGUCCAUAAUUUUGCAUGCUUCCAUAGAUUAUUUGAUUGCAACAUUUUGCCACAGAAUAUUUAGUUUGUAUUUCUUCGGCCUUUUCUCUUCCUCAGUUUCCUAUAGUGGUGGGGAAAAAAAAUCCAACACAUGUUAGGAAACAAAUGUGAAGUUUGUUUCUAAAAAGGUGCCAAAUCUAAAAAAAAAGAAAAAGAAAAGAAAAAUGAGUUACAGCACAUUUUUCGCCAGGAAUAGAAUAAUAUGUAAGCAUCAAAACUAUCAGAAUGCAUCAAAUCACUUUGGUACAGUGCUUGGGACAUUGCAUUUUAAUACAAAAGAAUCCAUAUACUCAGCACAUUUUUUAUUUUUUAAAAAAACUGUUCAGAUGGAUUUAGUACCUUUUGGAAACAAAUGGGAUAGGGACCGCUGUUGCCCUACAAAGCCUGUAGAGUUAAGAGGGCUGUAAAGAAUACCAUACUAACAAAAAGUGAGAUAUUCAGAAAAGCAGCAACCAUUUGAUUACACAUUGUUAGUUUAAAAUAAUAAUGAUGAUAAUAAUAAUAAUAACAAGAAAAUACCUACACAAACAGGUAGUUGAUUCAUCCUUCCCAGAAUAUAAUGGUUUUUCCAUCCAGAAUUUUUUCCAAUGCAGUGCAGCUACUCUGGGAAGCAAAGGCCACCAGUUUCAGAUAAUGUUACUACUGUAUAUCAUUUUAACCACUAUUAAAGAGAUUUUGGAAGAUACCAGAUUUAUCAACAUUCGUUAAAAACUUGACUCCCAUUCAAUAAAAUUAGUUUUGAGGUGUAUUCCCCAAUUUGUUUAAUUUCUAGCCCAUGUGAAGAAUUUUGUAAGAUUAAAAGAGAUCCCGAAAACCACCUACAAAAGCAUCUCCAAAAACCACUAAGAAAUUGUUUGAAUUGUGUGUUUGUGACAGAGAGGUUCAUACACUACCUGUGAUAUCCAUAAAGUACUGGUAUCAUAAACAUAUACAGCUUGCCACUUAAUUGUAUUGCCUCUCACAUGGACAAUCGAAUCUAGCAUCUGCUUGGUGUUAUUUAAAGGUACUGUACAUGUUAUGAAAUUGAUAGAGCAUGCUACUGAGACAGUGUAAGUGGUUUAUGGCUGUAUCACAGGGAUAAUUCAUUCCAUGACACCAUAACAGUUAAUUUGAAUUUACAGCUGAUUGUUAUUUACCACAAAUGAAAUGGAAGGGUUUACAAAUAAAAUCAAGUUGUAAAACCUUCAGCACAAUAUAGAAUUAUAAACACCAUGCAUUUCAAAUUCCCCUUUGUUUAAUACCAACAGCCAAUAAACAGCUAUUGUCAACAAUAAAUGCAGUAUUGCAAUCUAAGUAAAUGUCAUUUCCAUGGAAAUGUAAGAGCUUAUGCAUUAAGGUUCAUCUUACCUUCCAGUGGAACAAGUCAUUUGCAAACAUAUGUUGGGUUUAAUUCAUGGAAUUCACAUCACUGUGAUAGCAGGCAUUGUAAAGAAAAAACAAACAAAUAUGUCUUUGGGGCGGGGUGAAGUUGAUGUUUGCCUCCUUUGAAUUUUGGAUCUAUUUUGCAAUAUAUUUGUCUGUCCAUCAGUUGUCAAAAAGGAAAAGGUCAAACAUCCUUUUAUGUAUUGGUAAGAGAAUGAGAAGCUACUCCAACCUUGGCAGUUAUAUUUCAGUUAAGAAAAUUUUAACCAGGAGAUCAUAUAAAUACUUUUAAUCUGUUAUUCUUUAAAAGUGUAUAUAAGUAUUUUUUCAGGCAGUACUAGGCCUCUUCAGAUAUAAACAUAAGUGCAAAUUGUAUACAUCUCAUAUUCAACAAAUACAUGGGCUUUUUGCUUUGCUUUAUGCAUAUGAAAUACCAGAAAGCUGAUUCUUCCAUGAGACAGAUGAUUUUGGAGCUUCACAAAAAGACAUUCAGGUGUUUAGACUGAGAGGCAUUUAGAACGUAAUCCUGUGACCAAUAGGAUAUCUACCCAAAUACUGCAAGAAGAGACUGCUCAGGGUCCAAGCUGGAGCUCUAACAUCGAAGGUGUUGCUAAUACUGUUCUUAUUAUUGUCUUUAUUUGUACCCUGACCCCCCGCCACACAAAAAAACUUGAGACUUAAGACAUCUCUAAGCUUCCAAUUUCCAACCUUUGCGUCCUCUCUCUUUCCCCUUACAGAAGAAUCAACAUUGCUAAACCCUCUACCAUUGGAAGUCUGAUGUCAGAAAGGGGAAAAAAGAUGAGAUGGAGAGAGAGGUGUAGUGGCUCCAAACAGUUUUAUAGACUAAGGGUAAAUUUACAAACUCUGAAAUAAAUAGUUUAAAAAAAGGGGGGGGUGGAUGGAGCUCCUCUUUCUCGUCCCUUUUGGUAGGACAGUCAAGGUGGGCUUUCAGAUGAUCCACCAUCUCAGUAGUCUAUCUUGAAGAUUCAAUUAUACAAGUGUGUCAAACCAAGAAUGGGUGGUUCAUGAUAAACAAGCAAGCACACAUUUUACAUAACUGCGCCAGUACCAGACUUAUUCACAUUUUAAAAACCCCUUUACCUAAAAAAGCAUCUUAUUCAUUUCAAAGAUUCACCCUUUGCUUUUUCUGAGUUCAAAAUUGAUUAUUGUCUGGACCUCAGAAAUCUUGAUGCUGCUAAACAGAUCAACAACAACAACAACUACAAACUUUUCUGAAAAGACGGUAUAAUGUUCCUUUCAUAAAAAGGAAGAAGUUCACAAUGCAUGACUGUCGUCUACCUAUUUCUUUAACGUAUUUUAUCACUGAAAAGCUGUACAAAUUCCAUGUGGCAGAACUGCUGUUUCUAUGGUUACCUUGAUUGUUUUUAAUGGUGAAGAAAAGAAAGAUAUAAAACAUGACUAGAUUGACAGCUGCCCUAGAGUUGUGCUUAUAUAGAACUUAUCAAAAUGCAUUUUGUGUAUUACUACAAUGGAUUAAACUAAAAACUUAAGAAUC